Camelina sativa (false flax) is the source of this 2021-nucleotide non-coding RNA. NCBI's taxonomy places the organism in Eukaryota, Viridiplantae, Streptophyta, Magnoliopsida, Brassicales, Brassicaceae. The record is from RefSeq and is a predicted model, not a curated record.
AAAAAAAAAAAAAAAAAAAAUCGGUGUCUUCUCUAGUUCUAGAUCUAUGUGAUACUCUUCAUGGGCGAUUCACAAGAACUUACAUAAUGACGAUCUACGAUUUACAAUCAGAUGUAACGAUGAAAACGAGAAGGUUUAAAACUACUAAUAAAUGGUGGAGUCCGGUUGAAAAUUCCUAAAAAAGUUAAGAGUCUUUCAAACCCUAUCUUAUUGAUAACAAUUUUUACUUCUUUAUAUAUUUCAGAAAACAUAAAAUGCUCUAUUUGUUGUGCAGGUAAAUCCGGAACUGAACUUGCUUUCCAGCAAUAAGGAAUUUGUAGCAUUGUACGCAUACACUGAAUAAGGUAAGUACGGCAAGGCAAGAUUCUUGCAGUGGACACCUUCGUCCAUAAGAGGUGGGCAAAUUGGUGAUGUUUCUAAGUACAUCACUGGCGUCGUUAUGAGAUAUUGACGUGACCGUUGACUAUGGAGUUUCUCCUGAACAAAAACGUAGUACAUUGUGUUAGCCAUGGCUUAAAUGAAUCUGAAGAGAGUUUACUUAAAGUCAAGUGAAUGGAUCCUGUUUCAAAAUUUUCAGUGAUGUAAUUUUCAUCUUGGAUCGUUUGAUUAUUGGUAAGAUUUGUGAAGACUCUGUUGAAAGCUGACGUAAGAGAUUCAUUGCGCAUAUUGAUGUCACAUUAUGCCAAGGAGUUUGGCUUUUUGGUUAUGUUGGAGGAGAUAUAGCUAAUCUGUUGAAGUUCUGACUGGCUAAGAUGUUGGAGUUCUGACUCGCUAAUUUCCAAACUCAACCAUAAUCUGGAACCUUGGGAUUGCCUCACGAAAUGCUAGUGACAGACCAUCAGCAGGCAGCCUCAUCGACUUCAGGCCAGGCUGGAUUGAGGUGAAGUUGUGAAGCGUCAAAAGAGUUAGCAACAGUCUUUAUCCCUGUUUUGAUUUUGGCAAACCUGAGGACGCAAACAACAAUGUCACCGUUAGCAUCAUUGAUGGCUCUAUAAACUUGCUCAGCGAAUCCACCCCACAAGGUACAUGCCAUUCUCUCAUCACUAUUACAUAUCACUUGUUAAACAAUUUACAAUAAUGAUAGAAACAAAAAUAACAAAAUUACUGAAAAUAUUGAUAAAAUCUAACUUCUCAUCUCGCAACUCAAAUUCGAGUUUCUGAUUUGGUUUGUUGUUAACUUCAAGGGGCUCUAUCUCACCAAUGUUUACAACUUGUCCAACCACAUCUAAACGUGGAUUUAAGAAAAGUAAUUAGAAUUUUUUUUGCAACUGUGUUGCUUGAAACACAAUGUAAUAAAAAGUGAUAAAUCAUGUAUAUAGUACUAACCAAUCAACAUGUUGGGAUUCAGUUCACCACUGAGAAUCUUCUGAAACUUGGCCAAGCUUAAGAAGUUGGAAUCCGGUUUUGGAUCACUUCUCGUAACCAUAGUCCCGUUUACAAAAUUCAUCUUGUAAAGAUGAUUUAUGGGACGAAAUUGUCCAUUCGCAUGUGUUAAAGAAAAAGUCUAUGAAUUUCCACUCACCAACAGCUAGGUGGUUCACGUAACGUGUAACCAAGUCUUUUUUGACUGAGGCAUGGAUUUUCAUUCCCUGAAAUGAUUAAAAUAGAGAAUCAUAAGAUGCAUGCCAUACAUAAAAUGUAUACUACAUAAAUUACUUACAGUUUCAUCAGCCAUAAUUAAUUCUAGGGGUUCUCCAGUACGCCACUUAUGCAGGACCUUAACUUGAACUCUCCAUGCUGUCUUGUACGGACGGAUAUCUCGCAUUAAUGCAAAUGAUGCAGCCAUUUCUCUCGAUUAGUGGUUGGAUAUGCAGGAUGUAGGUUUUAACUGUGAGUGUUGGUAUGUUAUUGUUCGUGAAUAUAGUAUUUAUAGAUUCCAAUAUGCUUGAUGACCAAGGCUAUUGUAAUCGUUGUAUUAAUUCAAAGCGAGAUUACAAUAAUCUCUGUGUUAUUAAGACAGUGAUUUUGCCCUUCAACAUUAGUUUCCAAAUAAUCUAUAUAGAGAAUUAAAAGUUUGGCUU